AAAGAUCAAACAUUGCAGGCCCUUUAUUUCCAGAACUCUUACAUUUACAUCAAAAUUCUGUUAAUUACGUCUCCAAAGAGAAAACCCCUGAUUAAGAAAUUCCAACAUAACUAUUACAUGACAUUACAACACAUGAGUAUCUAAAACUAUGAAAAUAUAACUCCGUGUCGCUGUCGUCGGCGUCGGCGUGCUCAAAGAAGUCUUGAUUUUUUAUUUAUGCUAACGUAUGGGUAGCAUGAUAAUCAUGGUUAAAAUUCAUCUAUGCUGAUAUAUGAGUAGCAUAGUAACUAUGAUUUGUUCAUGGGAUGACAUAUUUUAUUUUAUAUCAUCAAUAUAACAUAUACGCACGUAUAGGUGCCAAGUCCAUUUAGUUGAUCAACCAUCAUAUAUUUUAAUCAUGUAAAAGUGCUCUAAUCAGUUGACAAUGUAUAUAAUCUAUUUAGAUGGCUAAUCAGCGGGCUAAAAUGGCAUCCCAAAUAUACACGCACAUGUGCCAAAGAUCAUACAUGUAUUUUCUAUAUACAUGCAUGGAUGAAGAUAUGUAUUUGAUACGUGGACUAUUAUAUAGUUGACCCAAGUACUAUAUGCAGAUCGAACUCAGGGUUUCGUAAUCCACGUGUGCUUCAUGGCCUAAGCUAUGAUUUAAUUCUUUGGAUGCAUGCACCUAUAUGAAAGUAGUGCAUGGCUUGAUCUAUACGGAGAUGCAGACAAUCAUAUCAAGAGAGUGUAUAAUUUAAUUUAUAUUUAUAUGAGUCACAUGCAUAAAACUAUAUGAAAUGCAACCAUCGUUCAAUUUUAAUUUAUAUGAAACAUCUUGUAGCAUGUAAGACUAGUUUUCUAUAGCCUUAAAUGAAUGUGCGACUAAAAAUUAGUCAACAUAUUUAUAUGAUUUUAGAUUUCAGUUAUAUGAGGAUUUUUUAUAUAGUCUCAUUUCAUUUGUAUUAAUACUAACGCCGUGUGACAAUAUGCCCACGUGUAGUAUAUUUCGUUUAUAUUAAUACUAACACCGUGUGACAAUAUGCCCACGUGUAGUACAAUUCAUUUGUAUUAAUGCUAGCAUCGUGUGACAAUAUGCCCAUGUAUAGCAUGUUUCAUUUGUAUUAAUACUAACACCGUGUGACAAUAUGCCCACGUGUGUGACAAUAUGCCCACGUGUAAUACAAUUCAUUUAUAUUGAUGCUAGCAUCGUGUGACAAUAUGCCCACGUGCGCAACAUGAUGUAUAGCAAUUUAUAGGGAUGAUGCAGCAUGUGAAAAUUAUCUAUUCAAUUUAGAGACGUGGGACUAAAUUGUGCAUCAAGUAUAUGUGUGCAAUAUUUUUGAUAAGCUAACGUACAUGGAUAUGAAAUUAUAAAAUAUCUAUGUACCAAAAUAUGGCCCAUAACUCUAGAAUGGGUUACUUGAUUUGUGACAAUAUGCCCGAAUCAAAAGCAUAAUCCCUUAUCAUAAAUGCUUCUUGGUUUGUGACAAUAUGCCCAGGCCAAGAGCCGAAAUGCAACAAGAUAUAUAUGCAAAAAUCUAAGAAUAAGCCUCUCGAUUUGUGACAAUAUGCCCAAAUCAAGAGUAUAAUUCUUGGUCCUAUUACGAGGUUCCUCUUGACUUGUGACAAUAUGCCCAAGCCAAGAACCAAAUAUGCAACAAGAUAUAUGUGCAAAAUCUAAGAACAAGCCACUCGAUUUGUGACAAUAUGCCCAAACCAAGUGCUAAAUCCUUGAUCCUAUCAUGAAAAGCUUCUUGGCCUGUGACGAUAUGCCCAAACCAAGAGCCAAAUAUGCAACCAUAUUUGAAUUGCAAGAAAGUGAAGGCCUCCUAAUUUGUAUUAUCAAACCACCAUGUGUCACCUUUGUUGAAGGCUACCGACGUUGAGUCCUCUGACGCGCCUGAGCUAGCAGAUGGGAAGCAGCAAGCAGCAGCAGGAGGAAAGGUGUAUGCGUGUGUGGAUUAUAGCAGCAGCGUUUGGGGUUGCAGCAGCUGAGUUGAUUGAUAGAAAAAAA
This 1993-nucleotide long non-coding RNA is filed under the name Brachypodium distachyon (stiff brome). Its description in RNAcentral is "long non-coding RNA (BDIS_LNC005627)". Lineage: Eukaryota; Viridiplantae; Streptophyta; Magnoliopsida; Poales; Poaceae. The record is from RNAcentral.